Molecule: ribosomal RNA, 856 nt
Filed under: uncultured bacterium
Lineage: Bacteria
Description: bacterial SSU rRNA
Rfam family: Bacterial small subunit ribosomal RNA
Source: RNAcentral
AGAGUUUGAUCGUGGCUCAGGAUGAACGCUAGCGGCAGGCUUAAUACAUGCAAGUCGUGGGGCAGCGCAGUGUAGCAAUACAUGGGCGGCGACCGGCAAACGGGUGCGGAACACGUACACAACCUUCCUACAAGUGGGGAAUAGCCCAGAGAAAUUUGGAUUAAUACCCCGUAACAUAUAGAGAUGGCAUCAUUUUUAUAUUAUAGCUAUGGCGCUUGUUGAUGGGUGUGCGGCUGAUUAGGUAGUUGGCGGGGUAACGGCCCACCAAGCCUUCGAUCAGUAGCUGAUGUGAGAGCAUGAUCAGCCACACGGGCACUGAGACACGGGCCCGACUCCUACGGGAGGCAGCAGUAAGGAAUAUUGGACAAUGGGCGCAAGCCUGAUCCAGCCAUGCCGCGUGAAGGAUUAAGGUCCUCUGGAUUGUAAACUUCUUUUAUAAGGGACGAAAAAAGGGAAUUCUUUCUCACUUGACGGUACCUUAUGAAUAAGCACCGGCUAACUCCGCGCCAGCAGCCGCGGUAAUACGGAGGGUGCAAGCGUUAUCCGGAUUCACUGGGUUUAAAGGGUGCGUAGGCGGGUAUUUAAGUCAGUGGUGAAAUCCUAGAGCUUAACUCUAGAACUGCCAUUGAUACUAUUUAUCUUGAAUAUUGUGGAGGUAAGCGGAAUAUGUCAUGUAGCGGUGAAAUGCUUAGAUAUGACAUAGAACACCUAUUGCGAAGGCAGCUUACUACGCAUAUAUUGACGCUGAGGCGCGAAAGCGUGGGGAUCAAACAGGAUUAGAUACCCUGGUAGUCCACGCCCUAAACGAUGGAUACUCGACAUACGCGAUACACUGUGUGUGUCUGAGCGAAAGCAU